GGCUUUUUGACGGGUGGUAUUUACAAGCUUCCUAUAGUCACCACAUCAGAUUUUAAUAUUCCUGAAGUUUGAUGUGAUGAUACAUAUGCACAGAUUUGUUUAUAUGGUUGAUUAACAUCUCUUGGAUUCAUAUAACAAUUAAUUGAGCUGAAAUCUUGCUUACUGAACCUAGGUUGUCAAGAAGCAUACUUUAGUUCUUGAAUAUUUCAGGUUUUUUCAGUUGCAGAUG
RNAcentral lists this long non-coding RNA (229 nucleotides) under Elaeis guineensis (African oil palm). RNAcentral describes it as "long non-coding RNA (EGUI_LNC082437)". Lineage: Eukaryota; Viridiplantae; Streptophyta; Magnoliopsida; Arecales; Arecaceae. The record is from RNAcentral.